This is a non-coding RNA of Pantherophis guttatus, 486 nucleotides long. Lineage: Eukaryota; Metazoa; Chordata; Lepidosauria; Squamata; Colubridae. The record is from RefSeq and is a predicted model, not a curated record.
CUACAGAUGCUUUUGGGAACAGUCACAAUGAAUACUACAACUCUUCUCAAUUCACAUACGCACAGAGAUACUGAAAGAAAGGAAGAAAAUAUUAGAAACCCAAACAGGCUGAAAUCAUGCCAUGUGCCUGAGCAGCUGAUGCUCUCUUGUGGAGGCAGCCAACCAGAGAAGGGGAUACACGGUGUUGUCUACAAGCCUGCUUCAUGAGAAAUUUUGGCAGGGUCACCCUAUAAGCAUCAUCUUGAACCAGAAGUUGCAUCUUUCCUUCGCAUUCAUCACAAACGGUUUAAGAUGAACACCAGUGGAUCAUCUUGGCUACAUAUAUGAGCCUCUUACUCCAAAGAUGAGAACUGAACCUCAUUUUUAAUGUUAAAUGAAUAGAAAAGGCACAGAUCUACACCCUCAUCCUUUAAAACACACACACUGAUCUUGCUUCACCUUGCAUGUUGUUCCUCUGAAUUUAGAAUAAACUGCCUUUGAAUAGCA